AAUGAACGUUGGCGGCAUGGAUUAGGCAUGCAAGUCGAGCGAGAAGAGUUUUGAAGCUUGCUUUAGAACUCGGACAGCGGCGAAAGGGAGAGUAACGCGUAGUUAUGUGCCCUAGGGUCCGGAAUAGCCACGGGAAACUGUGGGUAAUGCCGGAUAACAUCCCCGGAUCAAAGGUGUGAUUCCGCCCUAGGAGCAGACUGCGUCCUACUAGCUAGUUGGUGGGGUAAUGGCCCACCAAGGCAAUGAUGGGUAGCGGGUGUGAGAGCAUGACCCGUCUCACUGGGGCUGAGAUACGGCCCAGAAACCUACGGGGGGAUGCAGUCGAGAAUCGUCGGCAAGGGGCGAAGGCCUGACCGAGCGAUGCCGCGUGCGGGAUGAAGGCCCUCGGGUUGUAAACCGCUGUCGUAGGGGAGGAAGGUUCCGUGAAGAGCGGGACUUGACCUAUCCUAGGAGGAAGUACGGGCUAAGUUCG
RNAcentral lists this ribosomal RNA (472 nucleotides) under uncultured bacterium. RNAcentral's name for it is "partial 16S ribosomal RNA". It matches the Rfam family "Bacterial small subunit ribosomal RNA", at positions 29 to 505 of the family's 1533-position model. The record is from RNAcentral.